RNAcentral lists this ribosomal RNA (605 nucleotides) under Microbacteriaceae bacteriumRM12EL_05A. RNAcentral's name for it is "bacterial SSU rRNA". It matches the Rfam family "Bacterial small subunit ribosomal RNA", at positions 874 to 1477 of the family's 1533-position model. The record is from RNAcentral. Lineage: Bacteria; Bacillati; Actinomycetota; Actinomycetes; Micrococcales; Microbacteriaceae. RNAcentral also lists the same sequence under 10 other names.
UGGGGAGUACGGCCGCAAGGCUAAAACUCAAAGGAAUUGACGGGGGCCCGCACAAGCGGCGGAGCAUGCGGAUUAAUUCGAUGCAACGCGAAGAACCUUACCAAGGCUUGACAUAUACCGGAAACGUCCAGAGAUGGUCGCCCCGCAAGGUCGGUAUACAGGUGGUGCAUGGUUGUCGUCAGCUCGUGUCGUGAGAUGUUGGGUUAAGUCCCGCAACGAGCGCAACCCUCGUUCUAUGUUGCCAGCACGUAAUGGUGGGAACUCAUAGGAGACUGCCGGGGUCAACUCGGAGGAAGGUGGGGAUGACGUCAAAUCAUCAUGCCCCUUAUGUCUUGGGCUUCACGCAUGCUACAAUGGCCGGUACAAAGGGCUGCGAUACCGUAAGGUGGAGCGAAUCCCAAAAAGCCGGUCUCAGUUCGGAUUGAGGUCUGCAACUCGACCUCAUGAAGUCGGAGUCGCUAGUAAUCGCAGAUCAGCAACGCUGCGGUGAAUACGUUCCCGGGCCUUGUACACACCGCCCGUCAAGUCAUGAAAGUCGGUAACACCCGAAGCCAGUGGCCUAACCCCUUGUGGGAUGGAGCUGUCGAAGGUGGGAUUGGUGAUUA